UACGGAGGGAGCUAGCGUUGUUCGGAAUUACUGGGCGUAAAGAGCUCGUAGGCGGUUUGUCGCGUCUGCCGUGAAAGUCCGGGGCUCAACUCCGGAUCUGCGGUGGGUACGGGCAGACUAGAGUGAUGUAGGGGAGACUGGAAUUCCUGGUGUAGCGGUGAAAUGCGCAGAUAUCAGGAGGAACACCGAUGGCGAAGGCAGGUCUCUGGGCAUUAACUGACGCUGAGGAGCGAAAGCAUGGGGAGCGAACAGG
This 253-nucleotide ribosomal RNA is filed under the name uncultured bacterium. RNAcentral describes it as "partial 16S ribosomal RNA". It matches the Rfam family "Bacterial small subunit ribosomal RNA", at positions 524 to 776 of the family's 1533-position model. The record is from RNAcentral.